AGGCGCAUAGUGGUUCCCCCUCAGGAAGACCACCACGCGGAGGACCCGAGUAGAAAUGUGGCUCCGCCGUCACGCGGCGCUGCUCUCCGGUCAGUUCGCCGGCUGCUCUCCGCUUCUUCUUCGUGUCGCCUGCUGGUCUCAGAUCGGUGCUGCUGCUGCUCCGCCCCGGACGCAGGGUUUCGCGGUAAAAUCAAGUGCGGACACACAGACAAACAGCAGCAGAGACCCCGAGAACAACAGUAGAGUCAUGCCGUCCAACGUGGAGAUCAAAGCCAGAGUGAGCGACCCAAAGAAGUUUGGAGAGAAGGCUGCCGAGCUCAGCCAAUCAGAGGGCACCAUCAUCAGACAGCAUGACACCUUCUUCAACUGCAGCCAAGGACGACUGAAGCUACGAGACUUCAUGAAUGAGUCCGGUCAGCUGAUCUUCUACGAGCGUCCCGACACCGAUGGACCCAAACUGUCCCGUUACUCCAUCAGUCCGACCAGCGACCCGUCCAGCCUGCGGACCGUGCUGUCGGACGCCCUCGGGGUUAAAGGGGAGGUGCGGAAAGAGCGUCUGCUGUUUCUGAUUGGUCAGACCAGAGUCCACAUGGACACGGUGGAGGGACUGGGACAUUACAUGGAGUUGGAGGAGGGACGCCGUCAGCAGAAGUCCUGCUGAACUAAAAACAGGAGCAGCAUCUUAACAAUCAGCCUGAACUAACGUCCACAUGGUGAUUUGUUGGAGGUGUUGCUGUGUAAACACGUCACCUCCACGGCGCCGUGCAUCCUCCGCUGUGUCGUCACAGCGUCGCGACGGUCGCCGACUCUGAUUUGAUUAAAGCCACGACAGAUUUUGAAAGUGUGAGAUUUCCCAGAGGAAUCAGAGACAAACAGGUGGUGAUGCGUCCAGAGCAGACUGUUGAGGAGGGACAGCAGGUGGCCGAGGACCUGAUGGAGAAGCUGGGUGUGUCAAAGGAGAGUCUGGUAACUGGAGCGUACAUGGACCUGAUCCUGAAGGGACACAAAGAGACAUAAAA
RNA transcript from Acanthopagrus latus (yellowfin seabream), 1019 nucleotides. RefSeq lists it as uncharacterized. Lineage: Eukaryota; Metazoa; Chordata; Actinopteri; Spariformes; Sparidae. The transcript has 7 exons. The record is from RefSeq and is a predicted model, not a curated record.